Molecule: unclassified non-coding RNA, 613 nt
Filed under: Atheliaceae sp. SB20
Lineage: Eukaryota; Fungi; Basidiomycota; Agaricomycetes; Atheliales; Atheliaceae
Description: sequence contains 18S rRNA gene, ITS1, 5.8S rRNA gene, ITS2 and 28S rRNA gene
Rfam family: 5.8S ribosomal RNA (bases 196-350)
Source: RNAcentral
UGCGGAGGAGCAUUAUAGAAUUAUAAGCGAGGGCUGUCGCUGGCCUCCUUCAAGGGGGGGAAGGGGACCCCCCAACCUCUUAAUCCACCAAACACCCGGGGAACCCCCCGGGGGCCCUUCAGGGGGUUGGCCCCUAAUACCUUUGGAAGGCCCCAAAAAAGGCCAAACGGGUGGCCUUAAAAACCAAUUGGAUUACACUUUUAACCACGGAAUCUUUGGGUCCUCCCUCCAAUAAAAAAGGAACGAAAUGGCAUAAAUAAUGGGAAUUUGCAAAUUUCAAUGGAACAUCCAAUCCUUUAACCCACCUUGGCCCCCUUGGUAAUCCCAAGGGGAUGGCUGGUUUAAUGGCCUUUAACCAAUCACCCCCCCCAAUCCCCUUCCGGCCAAGGUUGGAAUUUGGAACCUGCUGGGCUGAAAAGGGCCGCUCCCCCUUUAAUGCCUCCACCGAAAACCCAACGGUGGUUUCCGUCCGCCUGAUAAAACCUGGUGCCGCCCUUGGUCCUGGCCGGGUUCGCUUAACAUCCGCCUUCGAAAAAAAAAAAUCCUUUUGAACUUCAAACCAGGAAGACCACCCCCUGAACUUUAACCUAUUCAUAACCCGAAGGAAAAAAAC